RNAcentral lists this ribosomal RNA (468 nucleotides) under uncultured bacterium. Its description in RNAcentral is "partial 16S ribosomal RNA". It matches the Rfam family "Bacterial small subunit ribosomal RNA", at positions 28 to 507 of the family's 1533-position model. The record is from RNAcentral.
GAUGAACGCUGGCGGCGUGCUUAACACAUGCAAGUCGAACGGAAAGGCGCUGAUUUUGUGGGGUGCUCGAGUGGCGAACGGGUGUGUAACACGUGAGUAACCUGCCCUUGACUUUCGGAUAAAUUCAGGAAACUGGGGCUCAUACCGGAUAGGAGCUACUGCUGCAUGGUGGGGGUUGGAAAGUUUCGGCGGUUGGGGAUGGACUCGCGGCUUAUCAGCUUGUUGGUGGGGUAGUGGCUUACCAAGGCUUCGACGGGUAGCCGGCCUGAGAGGGUGACCGGCCACAUUGGGACUGAGAUACGGACCAGACGCCAACGUGAGGCAGCAGUGGGGAAUAUUACACAAUGGGCGGAAGCCAGAUGCAGCAACGCCGCGUGCGUAAUGACGUCCUUCGGGGUGUGAACCGCUGUCGCCUGUGACGAAGCGUGAGUGACGGUAAUGAGUAAAGAAGCACCGGCUAACUACGUG